RNAcentral lists this ribosomal RNA (468 nucleotides) under uncultured bacterium. RNAcentral's name for it is "partial 16S ribosomal RNA". It matches the Rfam family "Bacterial small subunit ribosomal RNA", at positions 28 to 507 of the family's 1533-position model. The record is from RNAcentral.
GACGAACGCUGGCGGCGUGCUUAACACAUGCAAGUCGAACGGAAAGGCCCUGCUUUUGUGGGUUGCUCGAUUGGCGAAGGGGGGAGUAACACGUGAGUAACCUCCCCUUGACUUUGGGAUAACUUCAGGAAACUGGGGCUAAUACCGGAUAGGAGCUCUUGCUGCAUGGUGGGGGUUGGAAAGUUUCGGCGGUUGGGGAUGGACUCGCGGCUUAUCAGCUUGUUGGUGGGGUAGUUGCUUACCAAGGCUUUGACGGGUAGCCGGCCUGAGAGGGUGACCGGCCACAUUGGGACUGAGAUACGGACCAGACUGCUACGGGAGGCAGCAGUCGGGAGUAUUGCACAAUGGGCGGAAGCCUGAUGCAGCAACGCCGCGUGCGGGAUGCCGGCCUUCGGGUUGUAAACCGCUUUCGCAUGUGACGAAGAGGGCGUGACGGUAAUGGGUCAAGAAGCACCGGCUAACUACGUG